CAUUUCCCAGCAGUCCCCAAAUGGCUGUUUCCAUGGGGACGCAGCAGCUGCCUCAUUUCCCUUCAGGCCCCAUGGGCUGCUGGUCAACCUCAGGAUCUACUAAAGAUGACGCAAAUGCCGACUGAACAAUCUGAAACCCAAAGGACUCGAGGAGAGACAUGUUCUGCUGAGGAGAGAAAGGGCCAAGCAGCCAAAGCACAGAGAUUGAAAGCAACUCUGUACUACUCAGUCGGCUGGCUGUCCCCACCCUAGGCCCCAGACAAGUGGGCCAAGAGACAACCCUGGCUGCUCUGCCUUGCCUGGCCCACACUGGAGUCCUCCACCAAUCAGCAGCUUCCUGCCUGGGUCCAGAGAGCCAUGCCGGGAAGGGAGGUCUGUGAUGGGAGCAUGGAGCAUGCCAUCUCUGCUGUUUCUACCAUCUGCCAAGCCCCUGGCCUCAUCCCCAAGGCAACGACAACGUGACAUACCACAAAACAACCUGAAUCAACAAGUGAAGAACUGUAAGAGAAAGCAACAUUCACCUUUGUGUCACAGAUCAAAUGGUAACCCACUGAAGACCACCCCAUUACCUUGUGCUAGAACAGAACUGCCUCUGCCAUCUCUCUUUAACAGAAGCACAUCCUGAGAAUCUGAGAGCUCAAGGUAAGUGGCUGAACACUGUCAACACAUACAGACAUCUAACUGUCUCCUUACUGUACAGCCAUAGCAAGAAACAAACGCAUGCAGUGCUGUCAAGGUAGAAGACACCACUGUUUACUACCCCAGUCCCAAAUAUCUGUGUACGUUAGCACAGCCUACCUAGCUCUUCUGUCAUUGUCUUUUUAAGUAAACAUUAUACAUUUGAACU
Long non-coding RNA from Pongo pygmaeus (Bornean orangutan), 847 nucleotides. RefSeq lists it as uncharacterized. The transcript has 3 exons. The record is from RefSeq and is a predicted model, not a curated record. Lineage: Eukaryota; Metazoa; Chordata; Mammalia; Primates; Hominidae.